UCCGCCUUACAUAAUGGAUAACAGGCGAACACCCUAGAAAUCAUAUUAGAUAUAUACUAUUACCACCCAAAAAUAAAUCAAAACUGAAAAAUCCAUAAGGAAAGUAAGUAUUAACAUACAAAUUUGCAACGCAGAAGCGAAAAUGGAAAUGACGGAACAGGUUUGCACAACACGACUUUAUAAACCCCAGGAUCCGGAGCAAAGAUGGCCGCCCGAGCAGCAACGAAACUCGCCCCUCCUCUUCGCGAGCUCAGGAUUCACCUCUGCCAGCGAUCUGCGGCGAGUCAGGGCGUUAGGGACUUCAUUGAAAGCAGCUAUGUGGGACUAAAG
Penaeus monodon (black tiger shrimp) is the source of this 330-nucleotide long non-coding RNA. RefSeq lists it as uncharacterized. The record is from RefSeq and is a predicted model, not a curated record. Lineage: Eukaryota; Metazoa; Arthropoda; Malacostraca; Decapoda; Penaeidae. The transcript has 2 exons.